This 274-nucleotide ribosomal RNA is filed under the name uncultured bacterium. Its description in RNAcentral is "partial 16S ribosomal RNA". It matches the Rfam family "Bacterial small subunit ribosomal RNA", at positions 524 to 793 of the family's 1533-position model. The record is from RNAcentral.
UACGAAGGGUGCAAGCGUUACUCGGAAUUACUGGGCGUAAAGCGUGCGUAGGUGGUUUGUUAAGUCUGUUGUGAAAGCCCCGGGCUCAACCUGGGAAUGGCAUUUGUGACUGGAAGGCUAGAGUGUGUCAGAGGGGGGUAGAAUUCCACGUGUAGCAGUGAAAUGCGUAGAGAUGUGGAGGAAUACCGAUGGCGAAGGCAGCCCCCUGGGAUAACACUGACGCUCAUGCACGAAAGCGUGGGGAGCCAAACGAGGAUUAGAAACCCGUGGUAAG